Molecule: ribosomal RNA, 216 nt
Filed under: Campeiostachys nutans
Lineage: Eukaryota; Viridiplantae; Streptophyta; Magnoliopsida; Poales; Poaceae
Description: Elymus nutans partial small subunit ribosomal RNA
Rfam family: Eukaryotic small subunit ribosomal RNA (bases 44-216)
Source: RNAcentral
GGGUUAGUAGGUUGGUCAUGCCUCUGGUAUGUACUGGUCUCACUGAUUCCUCCUUCCUGAUGAACCUUAAUGCCAUUAAUUUGGUGUUUUGGGGAAUUUGGACUUUUACCUUGAGAAAAUUAGAGUGUUCAAAGCAGGCAUUUGCCCGAAUACAUUAGCAUGGCAUAAUAAAAUAGGACGUGCGGUCCUAUUUUGUUGGUUUCUAGAGUCGCCGUA